Molecule: unclassified non-coding RNA, 3483 nt
Filed under: Polistes fuscatus (common paper wasp)
Lineage: Eukaryota; Metazoa; Arthropoda; Insecta; Hymenoptera; Vespidae
Description: uncharacterized LOC122523524, transcript variant X1
Source: RNAcentral
GAGAAAGCUGAGUGAGCGGCGAGCGAGUGAAAUGCGUCUAAAUUGUUGUUCUUUGUUCUUUGAUGAUCGUAGAUGAAAAAUAACAUUAGUUUUCAAUUUAGCUUGCUCGUUCGCUUAGGAGUGUCUCGAAUUCGCUUACAGGAGCUUACACAGAGUCUGCACGUGCUAUUUUAUGGGCAUAAUAAAAGUAAACGUGUAGAAGAAUGCGUUGGUAUUAGUGUAGUUACGUCCUUGUCUUUUGCUCUCUCUUCUUCGCCUUUUCUCCACACCCUUUCGUCGCUGUUCACGGAUAUUUUGCUCCUAGCUAUGUUCUUUUUCUCUCUUUUUCUUUAAGGUAGUAUAUGUAAGAGAAUACUGCGGUAUUCCGAUAGCGCGCGCGUUGUUCCUCACGCGAAAAAGAAGGAGAAGGAGAAGGAAAAGGAGGGGAGGCGAGUGCGUGUGUGACUUCCCACAUCGGAGAAAUGUCGUCGGUAGCGGCAGCACUCGUGGCGACGGAAUAAACGGCGAAAGAUGUCUGGGCCGAUGAUUAGUCGUCCGCAGACAACCAAAGGUGGUGAUAUCAAUCCUUUGGUACAUACGGUACAUUGUGCACUUUGCGAAAAGACCGAGAAAUUGUUGAGGUGUUCAAGGUGUAAGUCCGCUUUCUAUUGUACGAAAGAACAUCAAAAACGUGAUUGGAAACGUCACAAAGAAUUUUGUGGAACUCAAGCAUCCUGGUCAAAUGAUUCUUCGCUCACUGUUUUUCCCACAAACAACACAGACAGAGAUUGCGCUUCAGGUGUAAUUGACAAUUAUUCAUCUUCGAGUAAACGCAAGACGCACCAAAACACACGGUCACUUUCUAACCUAAACAACCGAUCUCAACUUACCAACAAAGUUUUUGCAAACUUCGUCGGUGAUUACACCGCACGAGAAAAGAUUGAAAACAAGGAUUUUUUACUUCCUAAUUCUGUGAAAUCAAUUCAAGAUGCUAGAAGACAACUUGAGAGCGUAGUUAAACGCAAAGAUCAAACUUUUAAGAAUAAACAGAACGGAAAGUCAAAGAACAGCCAAAUUAUCAAAGCCGAUGGCUGGACUUCUCCUAUAACUUAUGAAGGCAGUUCAGAAGAUACUAUUUUAGGAGCUAGAGCGGAAUUAUUAAAUCCUGUUAUAGAGAAUUCAAGAUUUCUUGGAAAUAAACAAGAUUCGGAAUUAAAUAUGCCGACGCAAUACCACAAUGGCAUGAAGAAUUUUCCAAGCGUUCAAUUUAGCUUAGACGAUCUUUCACCUCCUUUUUUGCAUAUGAAUAAGAACAAUUUAGAAUUAAUGAUAGAUAGUAUUAGUCAAAAUGUGGUUGAAGAUAUGAACAAAUUUGGUGUGAGCGUGAUAGACAAUUUCCUAGGCCAAGAAAGUGGCAAUGAAGUGCUGAAAGAAGUUUUAAAUAUGUACAGUGCAGGAUUAUUUAAAGAUGGACAAUUGGUUUCCAAUAAGGCUAGUGCAAACGACUUAAAAACAAUUCGAGGUGAUCAGAUAACAUGGCUGGAUGGAAAGGAAAAACAGUGUCCAAAUAUCGCCAUGCUUAUAUCGCGGGUCGACGCUGUUAUCAUGAAGGCAAACAAAAUGACCAAUAAUGGGAAAAUGGGACAAUAUUUAAUUAAUGGCAGAACUAAGGCAAUGGUUGCUUGCUACCCCGGGUACGGUUCGCAUUAUGUGAAGCAUGUGGAUAAUCCUAACCGAGAUGGACGAUGUAUCACAGCGAUUUACUAUCUUAAUAAAGGUUGGGAUGUUAAGACAAAUGGUGGCCUUCUAAGGAUAUUUCCAGAAGGUUGGAAAGAAGACCGAGUAGCCGAUAUCGAUCCUAUACUCGAUAGAAUACUUUUCUUUUGGUCAGAUAGAAGAAAUCCUCACGAAGUACAACCAGCAUACAAAACGCGAUAUGCAAUCACACUGUGGUACUUUGAUGCCGAAGAAAGGAACGAAGCUUGCCGAAGAUAUCAAAAAGACAGAGUAUAAUUUUCCUCUUGGUAAUGCAGUUCCUAUUAACACGUUUUAAUCCAUUUAAAUUCAAUGAUCUCAGUAUUAUAACAAAUGUAAAUAAAACGAAAACAACGAUAUUAAUUUUCUUUUCUUUUUUAUUCCGAAAUUAAAAAAGAUAUAAUGCGUUGUUAAUUUUUACUUCAUUGGUUGUCUGCGAAAAAAUGAAUACAUGAUCACGUCAAUGAAGAGGAAUUUAUAAAAAAAGAAAAAACCUGCUAAUGAAGAGACAGAGAGAUAUGUUCAAAAAUUUUUUUCAAGAACAAAAAAGAUUUCGUUCCGGAUGAUAAAGUAAGAACUACAACAAAUUGCACAAGCACAAGCGCAGGGUUCGUGAGACACAGAGUCUGAAGGACAGUUAGACCGUCCGUCGACUGAAAUUGUAACAUUAAUUACUGAACUUACACAACUGUAUAUAGUUACAUAUGAAAAAGAAGCAUUGGUACAUAAAACGUAUUAUGUAUUAUUAUGUAUUAACUAUAUAAAUAUGUUUAGCAGAUAAAUUUUGAAGGAGAAAUUGAAUAGUAUAUAUAUACGAUACGAAAGACAAAGGAUAAUGCAAACUUAAAGCGUAUCACGCGUAAGAAUUGUGCAAUAGACGUAAAACCGUUCCUUUUUUUUUACAAAUGGUAUUGUAACAUAUAAUAUGCAUACCACAUUCGACGUUCUCUAAGUACAUGUAAUACUUCCUGCAGUUCUUACAUUGUUAACAUAAUUCUUAACGUAAUUUACGCCCCCCCCCCGUAACAUGAGUUUAUGCUGAAAAUUUUAUUGUUAAAUAUUUCAAAUAAUAACUUUAAUAUAUUUAUUUGGUUAUUAUUUAGCGAAUCUUCUUUUUGUUUCUUCGUACAAAUAUCAUACACUUUUACUACUUUGAAGGUAUUGAAUAUUUUUUCUCUGUGAAGUUGAAAAAAAUAUGACUUUUUCUUACGAUUUAAGUAUCUAGGAGUUGCCUUGGUUCUUGAAUAUAGAUAAUAAUUACAUUUAUAUAAUUAAAAGUGAAGAAUAUCAUUAAAUGAUUUUCCAUUUUCGUUAUGCAAUCUCAUGUGACAUUGUUGGUUUUAUCUUUAAAUUACAUGUUUUCAAACAAAGACGCCACAAUUAAUUUAUCAAGAAUCAUUCAUACUUCCAGUACGAAUAUUGAGCAAUAUCAAGAUCCAUUCUGUACUUGUAAUAUUGUUAUAUAUAUAUACUGUGAAAAGUUGUAGGAGCCUAGUGUUUAGUAUUGUAUGUACCUAUUUAUACAAAUCGAUUAUGAAAAAGAUUUUUAAAAAAUUAAUACGUAUCAUUUGCUCUUUAAAAAAAUUUUAAGAUAUAAGAUUAUGCUAUUAGUUCAAAACUUAUUGUCAUUUAUAAACGAAUAGAAGGAUUAGGAGAGUUUAAAUAAAUAUGUAUUAUGUUUCACAAUGUUAAACUUAUUGGAUGUAUUCAAAAAAUGUUAGUAAACAUUAAUAAGUUAUUUUUGAAAUA